This is a long non-coding RNA of Oncorhynchus tshawytscha (Chinook salmon), 999 nucleotides long. The record is from Ensembl. Lineage: Eukaryota; Metazoa; Chordata; Actinopteri; Salmoniformes; Salmonidae.
UCUCGCUCCUGCUGCUGUCGGUGACAGUCCAACGUAGUGGCACCUACCUGUGUCUCCUAUGUCCUCCACCUGGCAAUCCAGACAUCCAUGAGAGUCACACACAGCUCAGAGUGGUGAAGAGAUCAGGGCAGCACAGGAGUUUCCCAGGAGAUUCCCAUUAACCUGAUGUAACCCAUCCGGAGACAGACUGUACCUGCUCGCUCUAACACAACACAGGACACAAACUGCUAUGUCACACUCCAGAGGCUCAGGGCCCCGCCCCCUCCCACACCAUCUAGAGGAGAGGGCAUCCACGUUACCAUGCACGGCACUCCCGCUGGGCCUCCAGGUGUUCCUUCCCAGCCCAAGACUCACCCCAGCAGAAAGACUCUCCCAGAUGAGAUAAUAACAGUGGUGUUUUUUGUCCUUUAAACAAUGCAAGUAUUUCCACUGGGAUAGAGUCAAGAACCUACCCAACCCUCCCUAAAGACUCAGACACAGGGAACUGCUGUGUUGAGGCUAAUAGCUUGGCUUUUUCAAAUGGAGAGAAUGACCAAAUCUCCCUUUGUUCCGAAGAACCACUGUGUUUGAGUCAUUUCAGAAGGGGUGAAAGUCUGUUAUUUUGGAAGAGAAUCCAGAACCACUUAUAUCCACAUUCAUCUCUGACACUAUAAUCAGAGUGGUAAUUGAUUAAGAUUCCUAUAAUUUAGCAAUAUAAAUAUAAUGUAUUAGUAUUACGUAGAAGAUCCGUCCCUCUUGCAAUUGGUCCCCUGGGUGCCGAGGAGUCCUCUCAGCUCUUAAGUGUAACCCUAACAGAGAUGGACAGUUAUUAUGUUUGACAGGUAGGGUUUUUUAAAAACAGGAAGUGGGUAGAGGGAUUAUCUUGCACAUGGUUUCAUCCACCAGCUGGCUCUCUCUGCAGCAAUUAUCCUGUGGACAUUCCACAGGAUAUGUACAGAACAUUAACAGACCAUGCACAGGACAAUCCAUUACAUGUGGCCUUUAGGUACUUUGGCAAGG